Molecule: ribosomal RNA, 173 nt
Filed under: Debregeasia edulis
Lineage: Eukaryota; Viridiplantae; Streptophyta; Magnoliopsida; Rosales; Urticaceae
Description: 5.8S ribosomal RNA
Rfam family: 5.8S ribosomal RNA (bases 1-94)
About the family: 5.8S ribosomal RNA (5.8S rRNA) is a component of the large subunit of the eukaryotic ribosome. It is transcribed by RNA polymerase I as part of the 45S precursor that also contains 18S and 28S rRNA. Functionally, it is thought that 5.8S rRNA may be involved in ribosome translocation.
Source: RNAcentral
UGGUGUGAAUUGCACAAUCCCGUGAACCAUCGAGUCUUUGAACGCAAGUUGCGCCCGAAUCCUUUCGGCCGAGGGCACGUCUGCCUGGGCGUCACGCAUCGUCGCCCCCACUCCUCCCCGGUGUUUUCUGGGUGCUGGCGGUGUGGGGCGGAUAAUGGCCUCCCGUACGCUUG